Pelobates cultripes (western spadefoot toad) is the source of this 267-nucleotide non-coding RNA. Lineage: Eukaryota; Metazoa; Chordata; Amphibia; Anura; Pelobatidae. The record is from the annotation of a GenBank genome assembly.
GCUCAAGUGAUGGAAUUAAGGACGGUACGUUAUCCUUGUAAUGGGGAUCCAGCAGGGUGGCCACCCAGUAAUCAGCACAAGUUAGAAUGUGGGCAACUCGGCAGUCAUUGCGCAGGCACUUUGGUGAAUUUAGAUAACCUUGGGCCGAUUGCACGUUCCCGUGACAGCGACAACGUAUUCGGAUGUCUACCUAUCAACUUUCCAUGGUACUUUCUGCACCUACCAUGGUGACCACAGGUAACAGGGAAUCAGGGUUCGAUUCCGGAG